This is a long non-coding RNA of Triticum aestivum (bread wheat), 1885 nucleotides long. RefSeq lists it as uncharacterized. NCBI's taxonomy places the organism in Eukaryota, Viridiplantae, Streptophyta, Magnoliopsida, Poales, Poaceae. The record is from RefSeq and is a predicted model, not a curated record. The transcript is spliced from 2 exons.
AGGACUCCACGCCUCCACUGCGCCGCCAGCUCUCCCCCGGCACCACACCCGGCAGGAGGUGGGUGCUGGUGGAAACCGAGGCGACCAGCCCCCCUCCCCAGCCAAACCAUGAUCGCAUCCUCAAGCGAAUCUACAAGCUCGCAGAGCUGGAGGUAGUCGAUGUCGAGGAAGGCGAACUUUUGGAGCAGGGGCACUAUCUUAGAAAAAAAGGAAAAUUCUCUUGCGACAAGUCCUCGUUUAUGCUCCUUAAGGACGACUAUUGUAGCUUCAGGAGUAGGGAGCUUUCCUGAACUUGGUAGCACAGGAAGGAAAACUUGGUAGUACAGGAGGGAGCUUUCCUGAACCAUCCUCUCUUCUAAGUGGUAUGGAUAAAGUUGCCUUCUUCAUAAGCCAAAUAAUGCAUAUUCUUGAAUGACAGACUCUGUUCCUUUGUUAGCAUUUCCUUGGAUCAAAAUCAUAGUUAUCAUAUAUACUUUGGCUCGUACACAAUUUUGUGGGUGGCAACCUUUGAGUAUUUCAUACUAUGCACCAAUAUGUUUCCCUCAAUAGAACUUAAUUGUACCAAUCUGCAAUGGUGUUUCCUUGUAGAAGGUAAAUGUAAGAAAUUGACUGCAUUCCUGUCUGGUUGCUUUCAAUAAAGGAUGAAUUAUGAAUAUGAAUCUUCCAAAGUUUGUUAAUUAAAUUGAUUAUAGUUCCAACCAAAAGCUUUUUUUAUCCUCACUUGCUACUUUGAUUCUCGGUGCUUUCUGAUGUGCCAUCAUUUAUUUAUUUCGAAGUCUUGAUUUUUUCUGAAUGUGAAGGUUCAAAAUAUUAACUGCUUGAAAUGAGGUGGCCAUUUCAUCAAGAGAUUUCACACUGGCAAAAAUAUGCUUACUGGACAACUGUUGUCUAAUUUCUGUGACCUUAUUUAGUUUCAGUUUGUGUUGUCUGCGGCACAGACACUCAUUUCAAAGGCAGGGCUGCGUCAACGAUGCGCGUCAAUAAUUAGGCUGAUGGAAAUAGCAAACUUUGGGCGCGGUCUCCUCGAUCCUGUAGCAUCUUCGCUCUCUGGCCAUUACUUGUGCUCCUUUUGCUAGUUCCUUCAUUUUUCAUAUGCUAGUCUACAAUUUGUCAUUGUCACAGUGUUUGCAAUUUUGUUUCUGCAGGUCAUGCUCAACUUUUUCACCCUCUUUUUUGGUGUAUGCACAGUGAUGAUCUUAGAUGAGAUCGAUGCCCUUGAGAGUUUGAGAGUGCAGGUAUACAUUACAUGAGCCUGACAAAGAGUAGAUGGAUACAGACACAUGCCAAACAUAUACACACGGGUCCUCACCGUGACGAAGAGAAGAGAAGCCCCACCAGGGAAGAGUUGAUUCACUGGUAACCCGGUAUUAGGGAACCUUCUAAACCUGUGUCCAGCUUAGUGCCAAGGCGAAGGGAAACCCCAAUCACCAAGAUGGCGGAGAAGCUUCUGUAUUGUCGUCUUGGCAUCAUAGAAGAGGGUGUUCCAAGGCCAUCUACCAUCCAUUGCCAUCGAUGCAUUGCGCGCCCUCUUCCAACUUGACUCUGACCUCUCCACGACCAUUGAAGAUGCUCCUGUUGCUCAUGGAGUGAUCUGGACCACCAAAGGCACGCAGAUGACUGUGGUUUCCGUUGUGGUCAAGUUCCCUGAUCGUAGCUUAGUCUUCUGUGAGAUGUGUGUUGAGAUACUGCUUGCUGUACCAACCAGCAGUCUGCUUCUCGUGAUGUUCCCCUUGCUGUACCAACCAGCAGUUUGUUUACCCUGUUGGGCAACUGUAGGGGUUGUGAAAUGUAGGUAACGUCUCUAAAUGAUGACUAUGAUGUUUAUGAAUGCUGACUAUGAUGUUUAUAUGCUGAUACGAUGCAAAUUAGUUGUUUCUUUAGUUUA